UACGAGGUCUGUCCGGAAAGUUCGUAUAAAAGUGUUCUGGAAUGCGAGAAAGAGGAGUGGGGAGGCCAGGUAAGCGCAGGACCCCUUCCUUAUGUCCCUAACAAUGCUUCAGUUCUGGUCUGACCGCCGUGCGGUGCGAACUGGCUUAUCACGCCAUCUGUGAAGUUACCUCUUAACGAAACCCCGUCGGCAUGGAGCCCGCUUCCGUUGAAGAGCAGCGCGUCGUAAUCAAGUUUCUCUCGAAACUCGGCAAGAAUGGCCGUGAAAUUUUUGCCGAUCUCAGAACAGUUUAUGGGGAUGAUGCUGUGAAGGAACCAACCGUCCACAAGUGGCUAAAAAGAUUCAGAGAGGGCCGAGAAAGCGUUCAAGAUGACCCACGUUCAGGACGUCCUUCCACUUCACAUUCCGACGAAAACGUGGAAAGAAUUCGAACUUGUGUUAAUGGGGACCGUCGUUUAACGGUCAGACAGGUGGCUGAAGAGCUUAAUUUGGGCAAAACCGUGGUCCACGAAAUUCUAAGAAACGAACUUCAAAUGAAAAAAAUUUGCGCCAAGAUCGUUCCGUGAGUUUUUGAGUAAAAAUUCCAUUACGGUGACCGAACACCCCCCCUAUUCGCCGGAUUUGGCCCCGUGUGACUUCUUCUUGUUCCCAAAAACCAAAUUGGUACUUCGGGGGCGGCAUUUGGGGGACAUAAAUGAGAUAAAAAAAGCUACGACGGGGCAGCUGAGAAACCUACAACCAGAGGACUUUCAAGGAGCCUUCUCACAGUGGAAACGGCGUUGGCACAAGUGCAUUAUGUCACAGGGGGAGUACUUUGAAGGGGAUAAAAUUGAUUUACCUGAAUAAUUGUAAAAUAAAAUUUUUAAAAAACUUUUAUACGUACUUUCCGGACAAACCUCGUAUUAUUUCAUAAUGGAUUAUCCAUUAUGAAAUUAUAAUGGUAUUGCAGACGUCCAUAGGCUACAGUGUGACGUUUACCAUCAGACGGGCUGUAUGCUUGUUUGAAUUUGCCGUCUUGCUUUUGUUGUUAAAAAAAAAGUUGAAAAAGUCGACAUUUGUCAAUGUACCUUUGCUGUUAAAAAUAUAGUAAGCUCUUCCUCCCCCGUUGGAGCGUUGGCUAAUUAAUUCGGAGCGGUCCAUGCCGGCGGAACCCUAAUUUAUGCGCGGACACGAACCCCAGUGCUGUCACCUCGGGAUACGUCAACUAUCCUGUGACCCCGCGGGUUGGCGAGGCUCGUGCUGAAAAUCAGCGCUGUAGUGUCCCUGAUACUACAGCAUAAUGCUGAGCAUGGACCUCAUUUUGCAGGUAUUGCGACGCACGCACACAUACACUCAUUUUGGAUGAAACUGUUAC
Molecule: RNA transcript, 1354 nt
Organism: Galleria mellonella (greater wax moth)
Lineage: Eukaryota; Metazoa; Arthropoda; Insecta; Lepidoptera; Pyralidae
Gene name: protein GVQW3-like
Exons: 3
Source: RefSeq, a predicted model, not a curated record